UUAAGUUCAUCCAAUGAAUUGCAUUUUUUUAGUUUUUGCACACACUUUUUUUCAGAUGAUAAUAAUUGGUUGGAGCCUAGAUUUAUUAACUUAAAAUCAUUACAUACUUCGAUAUUUUUUGGUGUUAUCAUGUUUAACUUACCUUUAUCAACUAUUUCAUGUGUGAUAUUGCUACGAGACAUAUAAGUUUGUUGAUUCAAAUUAAUUUGUUCAAGCGACAACUGUGCGGCUUGUUUUUUUGCAAUUUUCUUGGCAUGAUCUUUGCUCAUAGAUUUAUAGGUACCAGCAGAACACAUUAUGAUUCCAAGUACGAGUUACGCAUAACUCUUGAAGUUUACCGAUGUAAUUGAUGGAUUGUGCCAAUUUAACAGUACUCUCUAGACAUGGUGGAUUUGUUGAGUUCAGUAAAUAGUCAUCUAUUUCAGAAAUAAAUGUCAGCUUGUCCAAAAA
Aphis gossypii (cotton aphid) is the source of this 450-nucleotide long non-coding RNA. RefSeq lists it as uncharacterized. NCBI's taxonomy places the organism in Eukaryota, Metazoa, Arthropoda, Insecta, Hemiptera, Aphididae. The record is from RefSeq and is a predicted model, not a curated record. The transcript has 2 exons.